GAGAAACCGAACUUUUUCACUGGUUAUUAUCCGUAACUUAUACAGCCAGUUGAUUUAUCAAGAAACAGAUUACAUUUGCAAUUCUAAUCUUAUCGUCGCCUACUUAUUUCGCACUAUGUAAAUGAACGUAAUCCAGCACAGACCAGUUGAAAUUUCAAUGAAAUACGCCAGGAUACCACGGAGUUAUGCGAAGCUGACAUGGCGCGCGCGAGGCGCGAAGCGCGAGUGAUAACGCCAGGUAGAUUGUCUUUCCAAUUUUACCGUUUUCUAACAGUCAGCUUGUGGUCUAGGGGUACGAAUCACCACCGUAGAUCCGACAUGUGGAUACAAACGGGUAUUCGAGACUACACGCUGAUUUUCGUUUUUUUCCGGGGGACUUUUUCGGUCAAAGGUUGACCUGUAUCGAUGAGCAAGAAGUUCCGCUAAACAGUUGAAUUUUAAUUCGCUUUUUAGGACGAAUAUUCAUAAGCGUGACGUCAAAAGGCCUUGAUCAGUAAUAAAAAGGUGCAUCAGCGAUAACGUUAUCGAUACUGUCGUUGCAAUUCGAUAUAACGGGUGUUUCGUGAAAUUCAACCGCAUGCUCCUUUUAUUCUUCCAAUGUGUAGAAAUGGAACUGGUCUUAUUUAAAUAUACGUGCUUACUAAUUAAUGUUUCCGUACUUGACGUAUUACGUGUCACUUGCACCGUCUUUGGCCGACGAAACCGUCGAAGUUUCCCCAUUGAAACGUUCUCAUCUCAGCGUACGUAAAGUAAGGGAUGAUAUGCAUCGUGGUUUACACGGAAAGUUCGUGUGGUAUAGAAUGGGUCAGAUGUAACUAUCCCAUUGUAACUAAUUAAUUGAAACUGUGGAUGAAACGAAAGGAAGUUACAUUAUUGGUUUUAUAUAUACUACCUACAUAGAAGUCGUAUUACAAUGAAAAAAAGACAUACAUUGAUCAUUUCUAUACUUCCUAAGUAGUCGUGAUGAUCGAAAUAUGUAUCUAUUUGUUCUUGCAGUUUCACGACGAUUAUACUUCUAGAAGUAAAUAUUUUACUUUGGACACCUUAUGCACAAGCAAUCUUUCUAUAAAAUCAUGAUUAGUUGACUUUGCCCUAUCAUAAUAUCGAAGCGAUUAUCUUCUGCACGAUAAGGGGGAUUAAAUCAAGCGUGAUUCAUGAAACGUGUCGAGAAGCCACGUGGUUGCAUGUUGCGGUUUGGUAUAAAAUGUAGAAUGUUAUUCUCUGGUUCAAAAUGAAAUUCAAUCAGAGGACGUAAUUACUUACAUAAGAAAAUCGUUCGCACCAGCUUCAUUCUUGUAUCAAGAUAAUAUCGACGGUGAUAUAUUAGUUCUUGAUAUUUAAAACAAUUGGUUUGACGCACUAGAUGUAUCUUUAAUUCCGACUUAUUUAAUAAAAUAUACAUGCUUGUAGGUAGCGUAAUAUAUGUAAAGUUUGAAAGGGAAGUUACUAUGCUAAAGUUUUAAUAAAGGAAAAUAUGUAUCUAAUAAAGUUCCGAAUUUAAGUUAAGAAUCUCGAGUUUAGAAUAAUAACCGAGUACUCGCUAUGUAUGUACUUUCAUAUUAUCUUGUAUUAUUAGAAAUUGAAUGCGUUUUCUAAUAUGAGCAUCCGAAGAAUUUAAUAUAAUAUGAGCGAUAUUUAACUUUAUAACUAUGUAUAUAUAGCGUUGCAUCUUAUGCUGCUUUUCACGUUAAAUUCCAAUAUAAUAGUAAAAAUAUUCUGAUUACUAAUCUAAUCCUCCAACAGCUAAUAUUAGGAAUAUUACGAAAAUUUACUAUAUUAUUGGCUCAUCAUACAACUCUCAAAAUGUGUUUUUAUUUUUUACAGUAUAUUUCGUUUCUUUAAAAUUGGAUAGAUUCGAUUUAUUAAAAUGUUAUAAUAUUAUAAUAUUAUCGAUUUUGCUUCUUGCAUAAAAAAUUUAAAUUUUAAAUGUCGUCAUAAAAAAGAAGUUCAAAGGAUUCAGGUUAAAAGACCAAAUAGCCCAUGCUAUCGGAUUUUCUCGUCCUCCUCAUUUUUCAUAGAGAAUUUGAUAUAAAUGCAGUCUAAUAUUAGCCAAAAAGGAAAACAGAACUUUGUCGUAUUAAAAUUUCACAUUUUGCUCUUUAUCAAAGAAUAAAACACACAAAUGAAUGUAUGGCGUUAAAAACGCAUUUCUUAUUCUAAUAAGGUUAGUUCUUAAAUUAAUGUUUAUUCAUUUGUCUCUGUUUAUUUGUCAACUUCGCUAAUUGUAUUUUGAUAUAAAUUGUAUCGUUUUAUUUUUAAAAUGUUAUGGAAGUCUUCGUAAAAAAUAAAGUUUUACGAUUAUAUUGUA
Long non-coding RNA from Bombus pyrosoma, 2308 nucleotides. RefSeq lists it as uncharacterized. The record is from RefSeq and is a predicted model, not a curated record. The transcript is spliced from 2 exons. Lineage: Eukaryota; Metazoa; Arthropoda; Insecta; Hymenoptera; Apidae.